Myotis davidii is the source of this 125-nucleotide non-coding RNA. Lineage: Eukaryota; Metazoa; Chordata; Mammalia; Chiroptera; Vespertilionidae. The record is from Rfam.
AGUGCACCAGUGGGGUCCCUCGGUCUGGCCUGCACCCUUUUGCAAUCUGGGACCCCUUGGGGGUGUCAGAGAGGCAGUUUUGGCCCAAUCCUGCAGGCCAGGCCGAGGGACCCCACUGGUGCACA